This 253-nucleotide unclassified non-coding RNA is filed under the name fungal sp. RNAcentral's name for it is "partial internal transcribed spacer region". The stretch from base 1 to 46 matches the Rfam family "Eukaryotic small subunit ribosomal RNA", at positions 1786 to 1831 of the family's 1831-position model. Lineage: Eukaryota; Fungi. The record is from RNAcentral.
AAGUCGUAACAAGGUUUCCGUAGGUGAACCUGCGGAAGGAUCAUUAUGAAUUUGUCGAGUCUUUAUUUUUAUAAAGACUCUUCGUUUUCUGUGAACUGGAUCGUUUUUUUUUCUUGUUGGCUCUGUUAUCCUUUAUGGAUUGUGGGGUUGACUUGGAAUGGCGAUUGCUUUAUUGUUAUUCUGUUGUGUUUGUUUUUUUACAAGUUUUCUUUGUAAUGAAAGACAACUUUCAGCAAUGGAUCUCUUGGCUCUU